Long non-coding RNA from Capsicum annuum, 699 nucleotides. RefSeq lists it as uncharacterized. The record is from RefSeq and is a predicted model, not a curated record. The transcript has 3 exons. Lineage: Eukaryota; Viridiplantae; Streptophyta; Magnoliopsida; Solanales; Solanaceae.
ACCAUCUAAAAAUAAAUUUUAAUGAGGAUGCAAUAUAAAUGUAGGUUUCUUUUAAGAAUAUUGAGCCAACACGGAAGGAGAUUUCAUGCUUUCGCAUACCCAAGAAGGUUGGUCCUGUAGGUGUAAGUCACAAAGAGGCUAACAUUAAUUCGGAUGAUGAUUUUCAGGAUCCGCCACAUCCAAAAAAUUAUUCAAUUACCUAAAAAAAACAUCAUGGUAAUUCAUCAUCUUCACCUGUCAAGAAAAAUUUGAAGCGACAAUAUAAAGGUUUGGAUGAGCAGACACCAAAAAGGACCCCUCCACCUCGUGCUGCAAAGAAGCUUUCUGUCAGGACUCCAGUUUUUAUGCCGAUUCAACAAAACGAGAAAGCAUCUUCAAAGAAGAAGGACCUAAACAGAUCAGCAAGCAAGAAAUCUAAUCCGAUUUAGUCACCUAAUUCGUCUUUCUGCAGUUCUAGAGAUGAAGAUGAUUUUGUUUCAAAGAAAGUGUUUCACAAGUUUCGCAAUGAGGUUCUUCAAGAGAUGAAAUCCAUCCGUGGCCUAGUAUCAACAAGGUGUGAUGCGAUAAUGAAUGCUAUAAGUGAGAUCAAGAAAAAAGACAAGGACAAUGAAGUUGACAAUCCACCAAUGGGUGAAGCUGUCGAGACUACAUCACACCAUGAAUUCAGUCCAAAUUUUGUGCAUGAUCUAUAUAAGAAUU